GAUAAACGCUGACAGAAUGCUUAACUCAUGCAAGUCGAUGAUGGGAGCUAGCUUGCUAGAAGAAGUCAUGGCGGACGGGUGAGUAACGUGUAAAGAACUUACCAUAUAGACUGGGAUAACAGAGGGAAACUUCUGAUAAUACUGGAUAAGUUAGUAGUAGCAUUACUAAGUAAUGAAAGGUAGCAAUACGCUAUAUGAGAGCUUUGCAUCCUAUUAGCUAGUUGGUGGGGUAAAAGCCUACCAAGGCGAUGAUAGGUAGCCGGCCUGAGAGGGUGGACAGCCACAAGGGGACUGAGAUACGGCCCUUACUCCUACGGGAGGCAGCAGUGGGGAAUAUUGGACAAUGGAGGCAACUCUGAUCCAGCAAUUCUGUGUGUGUGAAGAAGGUUUUAGGACUGUAAAACACUUUUAGUAGGGAAGAAAGAAAUGACGGUACCUACAGAAGAAGCGACGGCUAAAUACGUG
Molecule: ribosomal RNA, 465 nt
Filed under: uncultured bacterium
Lineage: Bacteria
Description: partial 16S ribosomal RNA
Rfam family: Bacterial small subunit ribosomal RNA
Source: RNAcentral